RNAcentral lists this unclassified non-coding RNA (423 nucleotides) under uncultured Cortinarius. Its description in RNAcentral is "sequence contains ITS2". The stretch from base 1 to 154 matches the Rfam family "5.8S ribosomal RNA". Lineage: Eukaryota; Fungi; Basidiomycota; Agaricomycetes; Agaricales; Cortinariaceae. The record is from RNAcentral.
AACUUUCAGCAAUGGAUCACUUGGCUCUCGCAUCGAUGAAGAACGCAGCGAAAUGCGAUAAGUAAUGUGAAUUGCAGAAUUCAGUGAAUCAUCGGAUCUUUGAACGCACCUUGCACUCCUUGGUAUUCCGAGGAGUAUGCCUGUUUGAGUGUCAUGAAUAUAUCAACCUCUCAAGCUUUUGCUUGUGGAGUGUAUGGAUGUGGGGGAAUUAUUUUGCUGGCCUUUUAAGGAGGUCGGCUCCCCUGAAAUGCAUUGGCAGAAUGAUUUUGCUGCCCGUUUAUUGGUGUGAUAAAUAUCUACGCUGUUGACGUGAAGCAAGUUCAGCUUAUAAUGGUCCAUUGACUUGGACAACAUAUUUAUUAAUGUGACCUCAAAUCAGGUAGGACUACCCGCUGAACUUAAGCAUAUCAAUAAGCGGAGGCU